AUAAUAUUAGCAGAAUAAUAAGAAGAGAAUAAAUUAAUCUGAAUAAUUAAAAAAAAUCUAAAAUAAUCAUGGACGUACUUAAAUAACAUAAUCACUAAAUUCGCGGAGAGCGGCGUUAACUCCAAUUGUUGAUAACAAAAGUUGAAUCGCGGUAAUAUCAGCAAAGUAAAAAAUACCUUUCGGUUCGUCUACACCAUAUCCAUCCUCGAAAUUUCUAAAAUAUUCAUAUGUAAUAUAUGGUGCGAUGAUAUUUAUUAUUGAUGAUAUUAUACAUACUUCGAUUUAAAAGGUCCACUUCUUUUGGAUUGUCUAUAUAUACUUACCGAAAAUGAUUGUACACGUCCUUUACCAUUGGACAUCCAACAAUUUGUCUCAUGUUUUGACCAUAACCUGAAUGAUAAUAAGACAUCAAAUCUUCGCUGAAUUGAAUCUUUUCCAGAUCCUCCUUUCUAAAAAUGGCGCACCAGGGAGAUGACCCGUAAUAAAUAGUCUCAAAAGUGCAAAUAUAAGGUGACAAUCUAUUACCUACUUGGCAAAUGAGGAUUAGUUAUUGCACCACGAACAAUAUGAUUACGUGUGUAUGGACCGAAGUGCAUAAAGGGAUCUGUAUCAUCAGUGUAACAAUAAUCGCUUAAAACUAAAUGAUUUGUCAAACAAAAAAUUGCGAUUAAUAUCGCAAUGAUUUUUAUAUUCGACAUAUUUAUUUUCUUGAAGGAACCUAUAUUGUAUCUGAAAUGAAAAAUUAUGUAUAUAUAAUUAAAUAAUUUAAAAUAUAUACAUACUAUUGCGAUGUUUUUUUGAAAACGACAUAUAUACGUGAAAAGUACAUUGCUUAAAAAAAACAUAAAAAUAAACACAAAAUUUAAAGUAAAAUUUAUGAAAGUUAUGAGAAUUCCCUGUUACGAGAUGGUACUUACAUGUUAUCGUUUCAACGAUUGUUUAAGCUUAAACACUGCUACUCACCUUCUACGAUUGAACGACUUAAGCGCGCGUUCUCCUCUUUUAUAGGAAGGAGCCUAUCAAUACCUUCAGGUCUCAAUGCUCUAUAAGAUUUAAAUGAACGUUUUCGAAUGUGUAUUAAGAUUGUUAAUGACGUAUAAAAAAGAACAAUUUACAACAGAUUAUAAUUACAUUGAAUUUCUUAUAUACUUCAAUUAUUAUCUUAUAGAAUAUUUUAUUGUAUUUAGUACGCAUCUUAAAUUUCCUAUUCAGCUGUACGCAAGAUAAACGUGAUGUUAAAACCGCACUUAAGCAUUGUCGUACACCAAUAAACUAAGCAUACCUCAGAGUAUAAUCUCGAAAGCUGUAUAACCUCGAAACAAGUUCAAUUAAAAUUUGAUUUCAUUACCUAUAAAAGUACAAUGGAAAACAAUACGAUUAGAACGGAUAAUAAAAUCGUAAAUAAAUGAAUAGUUAAAAUGAACGAAUUAUUAAAAAACAUAUCAUAUUUCAGAGAAAUUUUGAUAAUAAUUUUCUUAUGUAAAGAUAAAUGGAUAUACAUAUGUUUAAAUUAUAUAUUUAAAUCAAUGCAUACAUAUAACUGAAAGUAUUUAUGAAAAUAAAGGGAUGAUUAUAAAACUUCUUUCACACAUUGAAAAAAUGAAAGAAGUUCAUAUAUAUGUACAUACGAAUAUGCCUAUGUAAUUCAUAUGUACAUGUAUAUGUAUAUGUAUGUAUUUAUCGAGUCAUAAAUAAUUUAAUUUUGCAUUGGAUGGAGUAAGUGAUAAGUAUCCAUUUGCGUAGCAGACUUUUUUAACGAAAACACGACGCAUAAUGAUAAUACAAUUAGCUGAUUUAACUGGUCAAAAAUCAAUUUAAAAAAUUUUUAUUACUUAAGGUAAUUAAAUAUGUG
Molecule: long non-coding RNA, 1852 nt
Organism: Apis laboriosa (Himalayan honeybee)
Lineage: Eukaryota; Metazoa; Arthropoda; Insecta; Hymenoptera; Apidae
Exons: 5
Source: RefSeq, a predicted model, not a curated record